AAAACUGACUGAAUCGAGCCACAGUUAUUUCCCUACAAUGGUCUUCGGAACGAGCUCCAAGUUUUGGUCUUUGGGUUCCAUUUGGUCAAAUCUUUAUCAUCUGGAAGUCGGUGGGGUGCCCCUGGGUCCCCUCGUCGUUCAUGGGCAGGUUGACCCGACUUGGUAGUUACUCUUGUCGGUUCAAGCGGUCUUCCACUUUGCGGGUCGAGCGAGGUUUCUCGUCGGCAGCCCAUGCCCCUGUUUAAACCCCCGGGGGCGUUCCUUCAAAGCCUUGCCGCCGCAAACGGCGUUGCCCGUGGGGGAAGUCCCCGCAGAAUCCGCUAACCCGCGAGGAUCUGUCCAAGCUUUCCUUUAACAUUCACGGCUUUUAACCUCUUACAAAGGCUUUCAUUUUCGUCGAUAACUGCACCUGUAUUCCCGGCACGAUUAGCAUGGACAAAUUUCCACCAAUAGAGCUCAUCCGAACAACUUACUAUUGAAGAGCUCAUAGGGGGGGACCCCCUUCGAUCGGGAUCUCACCUAUAGAGGUCCGUUCCAGGCACUAGAUGGGACCGCCCCGAAGCAUCUCUGCAAAGACAAAGUGGCCCGGAAGGCCCAGUUUCAAAUGGAGCUUUCCCGAUCACUCGUAUUACUGGACAAUCCAGUUGCUUGUUUUUGGAAGUAAAAGUCGUAACAAGGUUUCCGUAGGUGAACCUGCGGAAGGAUCAUUACCGAGUGAGGGCCCUCUGGGUCCAACCUCCCACCCGUGUUUAUUUUACCUUGUUGCUUCGGCGAGCCUGCCUUUUGGCUGCCGGGGGACGUCUGUCCCCGGGUCCGCGCUCGCCGAAGACACCUUAGAACUCUGUCUGAAGAUUGUAGUCUGAGAUUAAAUAUAAAUUAUUUAAAACUUUCAACAACGGAUCUCUUGGUUCCGGCAUCGAUGAAGAACGCAGCGAAAUGCGAUACGUAAUGUGAAUUGCAGAAUUCAGUGAAUCAUCGAGUCUUUGAACGCACAUUGCGCCCUCUGGUAUUCCGGAGGGCAUGCCUGUCCGAGCGUCAUUGCUGCCCUCAAGCACGGCUUGUGUGUUGGGCUCCGUCCUCCUUCCGGGGGACGGGCCCGAAAGGCAGCGGCGGCACCGCGUCCGGUCCUCAAGCGUAUGGGGCUUUGUCACCCGCUUUGUAGGACUGGCCGGCGCCUGCCGAUCAACCAAACUUUUUUCCAGGUUGACCUCGGAUCAGGUAGGGAUACCCGCUGAACUUAAGCAUAUCAAUAAGCGGAGGAAAAGAAACCAACGGGAUUGCCCCAGUAACGGCGAGUGAAGCGGCAGAGCUCCAUUUGAAAGCUGGCUCCUUCGGGUCCGCAUUGUAUUUGCAAGGAUGCUUGGGAGCGGUCCCCUCUAGUGCCUGGAACGGACCUAUAGAGGUGAGAAUCCCGUAUGGGAUGGGUGUCCGCCCCAUGUGAAGCUCCUCGAGAGUCGAGUUGAUCGGAAUGAGCUCUAAUGGGUGGAAAUUCAUCUAAGCUAAUAUUGCCGGAACCAUAGCGCGAAUUAAGUGACGAAGAUGAAAGCCUUUGAAAGGAUUAAAACCCGUGAAUGUGAAGGGAACGCUUGGACAAACUCCUGCGGGUCAGCCGCAUCGGGCGGGGACUCCCCCGACGGGCACGUCGUUGGGCGCCGCCAAGGCCCGAAGGACGCCCCCGGGGCGCUAAACCGGGGUGAUGCGGCUGCCGACGAGAACGCUUCGCCGACCUGGAAAAGUGUAUCACCUUUGAACCGACAAGGCUAAAUACCAGGGUCGGGCAACCGCGCAGGAACGAAGAGGGGACCCUAGGGCCU
This 1814-nucleotide small RNA is filed under the name Penicillium brevicompactum. RNAcentral's name for it is "eukaryotic LSU rRNA". The stretch from base 885 to 1038 matches the Rfam family "5.8S ribosomal RNA". The record is from RNAcentral. Lineage: Eukaryota; Fungi; Ascomycota; Eurotiomycetes; Eurotiales; Aspergillaceae.